Molecule: ribosomal RNA, 269 nt
Filed under: uncultured prokaryote
Description: partial 16S ribosomal RNA
Rfam family: Bacterial small subunit ribosomal RNA
Source: RNAcentral
UACGGAGGAUGCAAGCGUUAUCCGGAUUUAUUGGGUUUAAAGGGUGCGUAGGCGGAUUAAUAAGUCAGUGGUGAAAACCUGCAGCUUAACUGUAGACUUGCCAUUGAUACUGUUAGUCUUGAGUACGGUCAAGGUAGGCGGAAUGUGUAAUGUAGCGGUGAAAUGCUUAGAUAUUACACAGAACACCGAUUGCGAAGGCAGCUUACUGGGCCAUUACUGACGCUGAGGCACGAAAGCGUGGGGAGCGAACAGGAUUAGAUACCCCCGUA